RNAcentral lists this transfer RNA (72 nucleotides) under Camelus bactrianus (Bactrian camel). It matches the Rfam family "tRNA". From Rfam's summary of the family: Transfer RNA (tRNA) molecules are approximately 80 nucleotides in length. Their secondary structure includes four short double-helical elements and three loops (D, anti-codon, and T loops). Further hydrogen bonds mediate the characteristic L-shaped molecular structure. tRNAs have two regions of fundamental functional importance: the anti-codon, which is responsible for specific mRNA codon recognition, and the 3' end, to which the tRNAs corresponding amino acid is attached (by aminoacyl-tRNA synthetases). tRNAs cope with the degeneracy of the genetic code in two manners: having more than one tRNA (with a specific anti-codon) for a particular amino acid; and 'wobble' base-pairing, i.e. permitting non-standard base-pairing at the 3rd anti-codon position. Lineage: Eukaryota; Metazoa; Chordata; Mammalia; Artiodactyla; Camelidae. RNAcentral also lists the same sequence under 2 other names. The record is from Rfam by way of RNAcentral.
GAAGGUAUAGCUCAGUGGUAGAGCGUGUGCUUAGCAUGCGUGAGGUCCUGGGUUCAAUCCACUGUACCUCUA